ACCAAUAAUAUCAACGUCUUCCUCUUCUCCGUCACCAUGAAAAAUUGUUGCAUCAACAAGAAGGUUAUUCUCCUUCUUAACAUCAAAACCGCUUGUCUCUCCUUUUUGAAUAAGAAAUCGCAUUUUACUGCCACCAUUCCAAGAAAUUCCAGUUCCAAGGUUUAUGUCUUCUACAUUUCCAUCAUUCUCCUCCUCAAAGUCCUCACCUAGACUAGACAUAUUAGCAAGAAAAUCCUACACCAUCUUAGUAGUGCCCUUGUCAUUAUUAUGGGAAACUUCACUUGAGCCA
This 289-nucleotide unclassified non-coding RNA is filed under the name Hevea brasiliensis (rubber tree). Lineage: Eukaryota; Viridiplantae; Streptophyta; Magnoliopsida; Malpighiales; Euphorbiaceae. The record is from RNAcentral.